RNAcentral lists this ribosomal RNA (899 nucleotides) under uncultured bacterium. Its description in RNAcentral is "bacterial SSU rRNA". It matches the Rfam family "Bacterial small subunit ribosomal RNA", at positions 23 to 917 of the family's 1533-position model. The record is from RNAcentral.
CUCAGAUUGAACGCUGGCGGCAGGCCUAACACAUGCAAGUCGAGCGGAUGAAGGGAGCUUGCUCCUGGAUUCAGCGGCGGACGGGUGAGUAAUGCCUAGGAAUCUGCCUGGUAGUGGGGGAUAACGUCCGGAAACGGGCGCUAAUACCGCAUACGUCCUGAGGGAGAAAGUGGGGGAUCUUCGGACCUCACGCUAUCAGAUGAGCCUAGGUCGGAUUAGCUAGUUGGUGGGGUAAAGGCCUACCAAGGCGACGAUCCGUAACUGGUCUGAGAGGAUGAUCAGUCACACUGGAACUGAGACACGGUCCAGACUCCUACGGGAGGCAGCAGUGGGGAAUAUUGGACAAUGGGCGAAAGCCUGAUCCAGCCAUGCCGCGUGUGUGAAGAAGGUCUUCGGAUUGUAAAGCACUUUAAGUUGGGAGGAAGGGCAGUAAGUUAAUACCUUGCUGUUUUGACGUUACCAACAGAAUAAGCACCGGCUAACUUCGUGCCAGCAGCCGCGGUAAUACGAAGGGUGCAAGCGUUAAUCGGAAUUACUGGGCGUAAAGCGCGCGUAGGUGGUUCAGCAAGUUGGAUGUGAAAUCCCCGGGCUCAACCUGGGAACUGCAUCCAAAACUACUGAGCUAGAGUACGGUAGAGGGUGGUGGAAUUUCCUGUGUAGCGGUGAAAUGCGUAGAUAUAGGAAGGAACACCAGUGGCGAAGGCGACCACCUGGACUGAUACUGACACUGAGGUGCGAAAGCGUGGGGAGCAAACAGGAUUAGAUACCCUGGUAGUCCACGCCGUAAACGAUGUCGACUAGCCGUUGGGAUCCUUGAGAUCUUAGUGGCGCAGCUAACGCGAUAAGUCGACCGCCUGGGGAGUACGGCCGCAAGGUUAAAACUCAAAGGAAUUGACGGC